RNAcentral lists this long non-coding RNA (18266 nucleotides) under Gossypium raimondii (Peruvian cotton). RNAcentral's name for it is "long non-coding RNA (GRAI_LNC000134)". The record is from RNAcentral. Lineage: Eukaryota; Viridiplantae; Streptophyta; Magnoliopsida; Malvales; Malvaceae.
AAUGGCCUAAAAUUGGAGCCUUUGAAAGAAAACAAUAUGUUUUCUUAUGCAGUACAAUGGCACAAACAAUAGCCACGCACACAGUUAUAGCGUUUACAACCUUGUCCACAAGGUUUGGCGCAGUCUGAAUCUUUGCUACAUUUAGCAUCAUUAGAUGGUAGCGGCUCAAAUACUGGCAAGCAACUACAUUUUCCGGUUUUUAACCCCCUCCCCUCCCGAGAUGUUCACAAUCCCCCCCCACACUCUGAGUCAUGAGUACAUGCUUCCGAGUUCAAUACACCUGCAAAUUAAAUAAUAAUUGUCAUCAUUUAUUUAUUUAUUUUAUUUAAUUAUUUGUUUUAGAUAUAUAUAUAAAAUGAAUUUGAGACAAACGAGAUUUAAAUCACAACAAUUGCAGCUCCUCUUUUAUCUCUAGACUAUAAACUCUUUUGUACAAAAAUUCUUUUAUGAUGUAACAAUUGAAAAUUAGAGUAGAGAAAUAUUGUAUAUACUUACAAAAUGCUACCAUAAGAAUGACGAAACAAGAAGCAAUGCCACAAGAAGCCAUUGUUUGCAAACUAUUGAGAGAUAUAACUAAGAAUUGAUUAUAUGAAGAUGAGCUAAUUAUGUACAAAGUGUGAGGUAUGUUACACAUUUUAUAGUUGAAUUUGUGAACCUUUUGAACCUAAUAUUAAAUAUUAUGCAAUAACAAGUUGAUUUUUUUUCCAAUUGUGUACAAAAUAAAAAUCUCAUAUUAGGAAAAUAGAGAUUUUGCAAUUUAAUAUUCACAUCACUUAUGGUAUAAGUUAAGAGUACAAGUAAAUUAGUUAUAGUUACCAUAUAUAUAUAUAUAUAUAUAUAUAUAUAUAUAUUGUUGACACCAUUUUUUGAUAAAACAGGGUCGACAUGGAUUUUAAAAGCAAAAACAAAAACGGGAGUCGCUACCAAUUCUUUUUUUUGAUGAGGUGUGAUCGGGUCACCUCGUAAAACGGUUGUUUUUAAUAAACGAUUUAGAUUUUAUUAAAACAACGAUUUUGGUCCACGAAAUUCAAAAAACAGGUUCGGGAGUCGAUUACGCACGAGGAAGGGUUAGCACCCUCGAUAUGCCAGAAUUGGUACCUAGUCGAUUACUUACUGUCUUGGUGUCGAAAAUUCAAAAACUCGAAAAGAAUUUAAAAAUACGAUCCCUCUUUAUAAUGUUGAUUUAAAAAUGCUUUAAUUAAAUCAAAAAAUGGAAAAUGCCUCCUUAUCUCGAAGUGACAAGAGGCCACGCCCAGUAAGUUAGGGCCCGACAUCUCAUACUUUGAGAGUGAGUUUGCAUUUCACUUUUUAUUUAAACCACAUUUAUUUUAAUUUUAAAAGGAUAUUCGGUUACUUAGAAUCAACGAGAAAUAAUCGAAACCCAGUAAGUUAGGGCACGAUUUUCUCGACUUUUCUAAAUAUAGAAUAUUGCCUUUAUUUUGGAAAUUUUAUGUGUUUGAAAUUCAAAAGGAUAUUUUGCUAUCUGGGUUUUACGAGAAAAUCGAGACCCAGUAAGUUAGGGUACAAUUUCUCAAAUUUCAAAAAUGCAAAAUAUUGCCUUAUUUAGCAAAAUUCCAUUUCGAAUAAUAGCGGGUAAUCUAUUUGAAGGUAAGCAUUUGUUUUGUUUCGAAUAAAAUAAAGCAAUCCACAUUGGACAACUAUGUUGGGGCUUAAUUUACGAAAUGAUGACAUGAAACAACAAUAUAAUAAUAAACAUGGAAUAAUGAUACAUGGAUAAUUGCACUAAUGUAUGAAAAUACGAGUAAACUAACUAUGGUAUACACAAUAUUAAUACACACUCAACACGCAUUAUUUGAAUACUAGUAUUAAUAAUUAAAGACGAAGAAAAAAAUAUUAAGUAGCAUAUAUAACAAUUUCAACAUGAGUAGCAUAAGACAAAUUAGAACCAAUAAAGUGCAGGAUAUUUUUUAAAAUGAUAAUAAAUGAAUUUUGAACAAAUAAUGUGGAAAAGAAAUAUUUAAAAAAUAUAUACACACAAAACUAUUUUAAAAUACAAUGUAUGAAAAAAUUUUAAAAAUAAGUAAUAUGUAUGUACAUGUAGACGCGUAAAAUAAGAAAAGAUUUAAAAUGGAUUAUAAACAAAACAUAAAAACAAAUAGCAUAGUUGAAAAGGCACAAAAUAAUUUUAGACUAAUUAAUGUAUAUAAUACAUUCUAAUAUAUAGGAUAAAAUAAUAUAUUAUGUACUUAGGAUAAAUAGCUAAAAGAAUUUACGUCAUAUAAAAGCUUAAAAUAAGUACAUAAAAAAAUAAGAGAAACUUUUUUAAGCAAAACAGUGAACUAAAGUAGACAAUGUGCACAUAUAUGUAUAUAUUUAAAAUAAAUAAUGUAUGUAUAUAAAAAAAACUUGAAAUAAAUAAAGAUGAAUUUAAAACAGUUUAUAAUAAUAAUAUAAGAGGAACUCUUAAAUACUAUAAAAUAAAAACAAAAGCAGUUUUAAAAGGAAAAAACGUAUAUAUAAAUGGGGCCUAAAGGGGUCAAAGGUGUGAUUGGAAUCAAAAUAAAAUUGAGGGGAUAAUUAAAAAUUAAAAGAUGGAAGGAGGGACUGAUUCGCAACGUGCUAAAAAUAUCAGGGAGCGAAGGAGCAAAUAUCCCAAGCCUUGUGCGCAGCGUUUCAGUGCGAAGGACUGCACGGUCAAAGGACCUAAUUGAAACAGACCCAGAACUCGCGGCCCAAAUCUAAAAGAAACAAAAGGUUGGAUUGCACUUUAGCGCAAGAUGGAGGGACUAAAUGCAUAAAUUACCCAUUAGGGCAAAGCAUGCGCAGAUCCCCCCAUCAAACGGCGCCGUUUCACUUAGCAUUUAAGCAAAAUUUCAUUCCAGCCUCUGGUCUCUUUUUUCUUUUCUUAGUUUCAAAGCCUUUCCCCCUUUUCUUUCAAGCACCCAACCCUUGGGUUCAUUGGCCUUCGGCGUGCCACCAUCACAGCCACCAAGGCCGGUGACCGGCGAUGGAGAAAAAGCUUCGAACCUUGGCCUUGGAACACCCCCGAAAGGCUAAACCCUCAAUCCCGAAAAAGAAAAAAAACGAAGAACCUCGGCGCCCUUGGGAUCUGGCGGCCGUGACGAAGGAGAUACCUCAGCGGGCACAAUUACGGCGCUUCCUCGGUAAGUUCCCUCUUCCCUUUUUUAUUACUUUUGAUUUUUUAUUACAGUUAUUUAAAAGCGAUUUGCAAAAGAAGAGAAAAUAAAAUAAGAUAAAAAGAAAACGAAGAGAACAGUUCAAAAUCAACGUUUAAAGUUCGGUUUCUGAGUUUCGAUUCUCUUAUAUGUGUUCGUAAAAAAUUACAAAGGUUGAAUCCAGGCUUUUAUAGCCGAAUUACAAUGCUUUCUUCUUCUUCUUUAUUAUCUAUUAACUACUAUUAUUGCCCGCGUGCUCAUUCAUUUGUGGCUGCAUUCAAUUCUUUGCAGGUGCUAGACGAGCGUGGUGAAGUGCGGCGGCGACGGCGUACGGGGAAUUAGAGCGGUGCAUAGGGGCAGGGGCGUGCAUGCGGCGCUGGAGAGGGUUAGGGUUUGCUCCUCUCUGCUGAAACUGUUAAUAUCAUUUGGGCUAGGUUUUUUUUUAACAUUUUGGGCCCGUUGGGUUUAUUUAAUUUUGGCUUUGGGCCACUACUGUAAUAGACUGUCUUAUUUUGGAUUUUGGGGCCGGGCAAAAAUGGGCUCUUACAGCUGCCCCUCUUUGCUCAUUUUCGUGUAACGAGAAUAGGGCAAAGACUAAGAAAGGCCAAUUUUGCCCGGUCUCGCCGAGUCUUGACUUCUUGGUGCCUUUCUUCUUCAAGUAGCCUCAUUCCAGUCCACUGUGUCUCAUUGCCUUGAUCCACUUCACUAUACUUCAGAGAGAUACGACUUCAAUCUACUCUGUUACAACUCCAUGGGGAUGAGAUUUGUGGUUUUAGUCUGCUCCACUACUGCUUAGGGAGAUAAGAUCUGUGGUUUUAAUCUGCUCCACUGCAACUCAGGGAGAUAGGAUCUGUUUUUUGAUCCACUUCCUACAAAUAUAGGAAGACAGGACCUGCUAUCUUCGAUCUACUUCGCGCCAAUACAUGAAGACAAGAUCUGCUUUCUUCGAUUUACUUCGCCACCAGUAUGGGAAGACAAGAUCUGCACAUUCGAUCCACUUCCUACCAAUAUAAGAAGACAGGAUCUGCUUUCUUCGAUCUACUUCACGCCAAUACAUGAAGACAAGAUCUGCAUCUUCGAUCCACUUCCUACUAAUAUAAGAAGACAGGACAUGCUAUCUUCGAUCUACUUCACGCCAAUACAUGAAGACAAGAUCUACUUUCUUCGAUCUACUUCACGCUAAUACAUGAAGACAAGAUCUGCUUUCUUCGAUCUACUUCACGCCAAUACAUGAAGACAAUAUCUGCAUCUUCGAUCUACUUUCUACCAAUAUAAGAAGACAGGACCUGCUAUCUUCGAUCUACUUCACUGCCAACACAAGAAUACAAGAUCUGCUUUCUUCGAUCUACUUCGCCACUAGUAUGGGAAGACAAGAUCUGCAUCUUCGAUCCACUUCCUACUAAUAUAGGAAGACAUGACCUGCUUUCUUCGACCUACUUCACGCCAAUACAUGAAGACAAGAUCUACAUCUUUUAUAACUUCAAUCCAUCCCACUGCAACUUCAGGGGUAUAGGAUCUGUUUCUUUGAUCUGUUCUCUGGGGAACAUGACCUGCAAAAUCCAUUUCAUGGACCUAUUUAUGCCUAGUGUUUAGGAUGUUACGAUUAGAAUGAAUCAAAUGCUCCUAACUAGAUGUGUAUGUAUGGUAUUUGUAUGAAUGCGGAACGUCAUGAGAAUGAUCCCUUUUUAAUGCUUAGGUUGUCAUUACUCGCUGUUCCUCAAAAUUCAACCACUGAUGCCUUCUUGUUCAGUUGGUAUCCUCAAAGGAAUAGUCACAAUUUAGAUUAUUCUUCCUUCAAUGCUUCUAACCCUUAGGUUGGUUAGUUCUAAACAGUAGCCCUGUUUCGGGUCCUUAUACUAUUUAGAAGCUUUCAGAGUAAUAUGCAGAACUCCAUCUGCUUGAAUAUUAUCAGUCCAGUAAUCGUUAUUUCAAUGCAAAAUGCUUGACAAAGAUUAUCAAAAUGGACAAAAUGAAAUUUCAUUGAGAGCAAAGCUCUAAACAAACAAGUCGAUCAAGAUAGCAGAUUUUGCUGAGAUACGAGAUGAAUAAGAUGAAAAAGAUUAUCACAAUGGAUAAGAUGGAAAUUUGUUGAGAGCGAAGCUCUAAAUGAACAAAUUAAUCAGGAUAACAAAAUUUUCUAGAAUACAAAAUAAGAAUAAAUUAAUCAAGAUGAAAAUAGGUGCCCCAGAUAUCGUAGCAUGAGCUUCUCUGCUUCAAACUUCUUGAGGACCCUUUUGAACUUGACAUGUGUUUAGAAGUCCUAAAAGACUUUUGUUGAUGCCCCAAGAUGUAGCAUCUCUCUUUCUUAUUAAUUCGGAGAUGAUAAGACUAUCAUAUCUUUGAUAAAAAAUUUGAACAGCCCAUUCUUGGGUUUUCAAUUCAAAACCCCUUUGGUCUUAAGGCGCCCUUUGCGGGUUUUCGCCUUGGCCUCUCCCUUUUUUUUAGGCAAAGUACCUCUUCACUGAAUCCGAAUUUACAGGAUUGGGCAAGCUUUUGCCAUCCAUCUCAGUUAAAAUUAAACCCCCUCCCGAAAAGGUUUUCUUUACUACAUAAGGUCCCUCCUAGUUUGGCAUCCACUUUCCUCUAAAGUCCUUUUGUAUGGGAAGGAUCUUUUUCAGUACCAAGUCCCUUUCAAGGAAGUCCCUGGGAUGAACUUUCUUAUUGUAAGCUCGUAUCAUUCGCUUCUGGUACAUUUGCCCAUGACGGAUAGCUCUCAGCCUCUUUCCUUCAAUCAAGUUUAGCUGGUCAUAUCAGGAUUGGACCCAUUCUGCUUCGUCUAACUUUAGUUCUGAUAAAACUCGAAGAGAGGGAAUUUCAACCUCAAUUGGUAGCACCGCCUCCAUUCCAUAAACCAAAGAGAAUGGCGUUGCCCCGGUAGAAGUCCUGAUAGACGUUCGAUAAGCAUAGAGGGCGAAUGGUAACUUCUCGUGCCAAUCUUUAUAGGUCUCAGUCAUUUUCCCCACAAUCUUCUUGAUAUUCUUAUUGGCCGCCUCCACUUCGCCAUUCAUUUUUGGACGAUAUGGUGAUGAGUUGUGGUGCUUGAUCUUGAAUUGACUACAGACCUCUGCUAUCGUGCUAUUGUUCAAGUUCAAUGCGUUGUCAGAUAUAAUCCUUUCAGGCAUUCCAUACCGACAUAUGAUGUCCUUCUUUAGAAACUUGCUGACGGCUGCCUUUGUGACAUUGGCGUAAGAAGUAACUUCUACCCACUUAGUAAAGUAAUCAAUCACUACAAAGAUAAAACGAUGUCCGUUUGAGGCCUUUGGUGAAUCGGCCCAAUGAUGUCCAUGCCCCACAUUGAGAAAGGCCAUAGGGAUGUCAUGACGUGAAUAGGUGAGGGAGGCACAUGAAUUUUGUCUCCAUAAAUCUGGCAUUUAUGGCGCUUCUUAGCAUACUUGACGCAGUCUCCUUCUAUGGUACACCAAUAAUAUCUGAAUCUCAUGAUUUGUCUAGCCAUUGUGAAACCGUUGGCGUGUGUUCCACAAACACCAUCAUGGACUUCUUCCAAGAUUUGCUUGGCCUCCACAGCGUCCACGCAUCUUAACAGCACCUGGUGCUUUCCUCUUUUGUACAGGAUCUCUCCAUCUAAGACGUAGUCACUAGCCAGCCUCCUCAACGUUCUUUUGUCAUUCUCAAUUGCUUGGUUUGGGUAUUCGCGAUUUUUACGUAUCGUAAUAUGUCCUGAUACCAAGGGUUGUCGUCUUUUUCUUCUUUCUCGUCAAUGUUACAACAUUGGGCUGGAACAUCAUAAAUGCUCAAUUGGAUAGGCUUCACAUCCACUGGUCUAUUUACUUUGAUCAUGAAAGCCAAUAUAGCCAAAGCGUCGGCCUUCUGAUUCUCGUCUCGUGGGAGAUAAGAAAAAGUGAUGUCGUCAAACUCCUCAAUCAAUUCUAGGACGAGCUUUCGAUAACUAAUCAACUUGGGGUCUCUUGUUUCCCAUUCACCUUUGAGCUGAUAAAUUACCAAUGCCGAAUCUUCAUAUACCUCAAGUACCUUGAUUUUGCGUUUCAUAGCCGUACGAAUUCCCGUGAUACAUGCUUCAUAUUCUGCCAUGUUAUUUGUGCAAUCAAAAUCUAGUUUACUAGUGAACGGAUAAUGAUCACCGUCUGGAGAUACCAAGACCGCCCCAAUCCCGUUGCCCACAGUAUUUGAGGCUCCGUCAAAGUUUAAUUUCCAAGCAUUGCUUUCUUGUGUAUUUGCUUUAACAGUUGCCACAUACAUCAGAUUCUCAUUUGGGAAAUCGAAGUUCAAAGGCUCAUAAUCUUCUAAGGCUCUGCUAGCUAGAAAAUCUGCUAUCGCGCUUCCUUUUACAGCCUUUUGAUUCACAUAGGUUAUGUCAAAUUCAGAUAGUAGAAUUUGCUAUCGAGCCAUCCUUUCGUUUAGAGCGGUUGACGCCAUCAUAUAUUUCAGAGGGUCUAACUUUGAUAUUAACCAAGUCGUAUGGUAUAACAUGUAUUGUCUCAAUCUCUGAGUAGUCCAGAUCAAGGCGCAGCAUAAUUUUUCAAUUGGUGAGUAUCUCGUUUCACAUUCAGUGAACUUCUUACUGAGACUGAGAUAGUAGAUUGCUCUUUCUUUUCGUCCUGACUCAUCAUGUUGGCCAAGCACACACCCCAUAGAAUUUUCAAACACUGCUAAGUAGAGAAUCAGCGGCUUGUUAGGGUAAGGUGGCAUCAGUACUAGGAAGUUGGACAAGUAAUGUUUAACUUUUUCAAAAGUUUUCUGGCACUCCUCGUCCCAUACACCUGGAUUGUGUUUCCUAAGAAGACGGAAAAUGGGGUCACAUUUCUCGGUUAACUGUGAAAUGAAUCGAGCGAUGUAAUUUAGUCUUCCUAGAAAACCUCGAACCUCUUUUUGAGUACUCGGUGGAGGUAAUUCUUGUAUGGCUUUAACUUUGUCUGGAUCAAUUUCAAUUCCUUUUUUGCUGACUAAGAAUCCUAGCAAUUUUUCUGAUCUAGCCCCGAAAGUACACUUGGCUGGGUUAAGUUUUAGCUGGAACUUCCUUAACCUUAGGAACAGUUUUCUCAGAACUUGCACGUGUUCCUCUUCUGUUCUGGACUUUACGAUCAUGUCAUCGACAUAAACUUCUAUCUCUUUAUGCAUCAUAUCAUGAAAUAAUGUUACCAUGGCUCUCUGAUACGUUGCUCCCGUAUUUUUUAACCCAAAAGGCAUCACUUUGUAGCAAAACGUCCCCCACAUUGUUACGAAUGUGGUCUUCCCCUUGUCUUCAGAAUGCAUCUUAAUUUGGUUGUACCCAGAGAAACCAUCCAUGAAAGAGAACAGUGAGUAUCCGGCCGUGCUGUCCACUAAGGUAUCGAUAUGGGGUAAUGGGAAAUUGUCUUUGGGACUGGCCUUGUUCAAAUCCCAGUAGUCCACACACAUUCGCACCUUCCCAUCUUUCUUAAGAACAGGGACUAUAUUGGCUACCCAUUCUGAAUACUUGACCACCUGUAAAAAACCAGCAUCAAACUGCUUCUUAACUUCUUCUUUUAUUUUCAGCAGAACAUCAGGCCUCAUCCUUCGGAGCUUUUGUUGAACUGGUUUGCAUUCUUUCUUUAUAGGCAGUCGGUGUACCACGAUAUCAGUACUUAACCCUGGCAUAUCUUGGUAGGACCAUGCGAAGACAUCUUUAAACUCUUGAAGCAACCCAACGAGGUCUUGCAUUGUUUCCUUGGUAAUACAAGCGCCAAUUUUUACCUCUCUGCCCACUUCUAAACUCACGACUUCUACUAAUUCCUUAUAGGGUAGGAUUUGUUUUUCUUCUUCCUACACCAUUCUUAACAAAUCCGAAGAUAAAACGCUACCUUGGUCAUUUUCAAAAUCCUGAGGAUCAGCCAUACUCAUGUCUUGUUCAAAUUGGGACUCUGAGUUAGCAACAGUGUCGCUCAUCUCGUUGAUAUCUGAAGACCUGUUAUUGGGACAAAGGGAUGCCCAAAUAAAAGAAUCUAAGAAUACUUGUAUGCAUGAUUAUAAAUGGAAUGAAAAGAAUGAAAGAAUAUUUGCUCAAGGUGAGACUGAAUGACAAGUUUUCAUUUAAAUGAGAUUUUGGACAUGUGCCUUUUACAAAAAAUUCUUAUUACCCCCAGGCUUAGGGCAACAAGUGUUCUGAAUAUUACUCUGAAUUAGUUCUAAAUGUUACAGGGAUCUCCUCCGCAGUCCAAUUGUUCAGAACACUUCCAGGUUCGUAAGGGCGAAUGCCCGAUAAAUUUUUUUCCAACCUUUCCUCUUCAAAUAUGGCAUUGAUGUCCAACCUUCUGGUCCUUCCUUCCGUAGCUUCAUUCUUCCCUUCGGGGUAGACAAUUCCCCUUGACACAAAUGUCCUAGAUAUAUGUGAAAAGGUCAUUGGUUUUCAUUUGGUUUCCAUCCCGCUCAAACGUGCUCUUCUUUUCUCUCGCUUUUUCUCCAAUUCCUUCUUUCUUUCCCUUGCGUUAGGCUUAUACCCCAAACCACAACGGUCCUGUUUGUUAACCAAGAUCUGUACUUCGACCCAUCCCUGGAGGUAUUUUCCAAGUCCUCUUCCAAGCAACGCUCUCUUUCCCAUUGUUAGCUGUAAACCCAUUGUCGUAGCUUUAGAUAUUUUAGGUGCUAGAAUUUUACUCCCCUCGAUGAAAAAUGUUGCGUUUACGAAUUCCAAUGAUCAGAAUAAACAUUUUAUCGUUUCACUAUCGGCCUCUAUAUAUGGCGCGUCAUUGGUAACUGAUGCGAUGAUAUCUUCUUUUGCACCUAUAGUUACUAAUCGGCCCUCUGUUACCAAUUUUAACUUUUGGUGGAGUGACGAUGGUACAGCCCCUGCAGAAUGGAUCCAAGGUCUCCCCAAUAGGCAAUUAUACGAAGGCUUAACAUCUAUCACUAAGAAAUUCACCUCGUAUGUAUUUGGGCCAAUCAAGAGGGGAUCUCUAUUCUUCUCAUUACCUUCCUUUCAGUGCCAUCGAAUGCUCUCACUAUAUUUUGGCAUGACUUCAUGUGAGAGCUAUCCACAGGCAGCCUGUUUAAAGUGGACAGGGGUAAGACAUUCAGUGCUGAUCCAUUGUCAAUGAGUACCCCCGGCAGUAUGCAUCCCUUGCAACGGGUAGUGAUAUGCAGGGCCUUGGUAGAUCCCAUACCCCCUGGCGGUAUCUCAUCUUCGUUGAAGAAGAUAAAGUUGUCGGCAUUUAUAUUGUUAACCAGGCGAUCCAACUUAUUCACUGAGAUAUCGUUAGCAACAUAAGUCUCAUUUAGUACUUUUAUCAACGCAUUACAAUGUGUCUCUAAACUUAGAAAUAACUCGAGCACUGAUAUGAGAGCCGGUUGCUUAUGCAGUUGUUCCACCACGCUAUACUUGCUAUGCUUCAAGAAUUUUAAGAAUUCUCUAGCCUCAUUUUCAGUCACCGGUUUGUUAACAUGCGGUUCAAUUUUGGCCGUUUGUUUUAUCUUGUUCAACCGCCAAGGCUUUUCUUUUUAUAGACUCCCCUUUUGUAUUUGCCAGGUCGUAGCGUUUUCCACUGUGCGUAUAGAAGCCUGUGUCAUUACCCUCUUCUGAAGCAUUUAUCGAGUUCUCCUCUCCCGGGAUCGUCACAUUGCAGUCAUAAUUCCAAGGAACCUUUUUGCUAUCCUUGUAAGGAAAGGCUACAGGUUUUUGGAUUAUAACCCUGGGUGGCAGUUGUAUUCUAGAUCUUGUGCCUCUUGGCCUUGAAAUAAUCACUACUGGGCGAUUUUGGGUCUCUCUCAUAGGUCCUUCCUCCGAGGCAUAGACUUCUCCUUCUUCUAGUCCUUUGAUCCCUUCAUAAAAUUCCACAUCUUUGUUGUUCAUCAGAUUUUGUACCAUGACCCUGAAUUCAGUGCAAUUUUGAAUGUCAUGGUCCUCUUUAGCAUGAAACUCGCAGUACGUCUUCGUUCCUUCGGGCCUUUCCAUUGAAUCUUGUUUGAUGAGACCUCAUUUUAUCAUUUGUCUCCAAACCCAACUCAAUGGGGUUUUUAUCUCCGCAAUGUCGGCCUUGAUUCUCUUUCUCCUACCUUCGAUUAUUGCGUUUACCCCUUUAUCAGAAUGAUUGGGUAAUGGACUCGCUGCUACGUUUGGUCCUGAUGGGUUGUCAAACUUCACGAUCCCCAUCUUAAUGAACCUUUCCACCGCCUUUUUAAACUCAGUGCAGUUCUCAAUUGAGUGCCCUGGUAUCCCUGCAUGGUAUUCACAUUGGGCAUUCAUGUCAUACCAUUUGGGGUAUAGAGGUUGCAUGGGUUCUAGAUAAAAUGGAGAUACUAUGUGUGCAUCAAUUAGCUUCUGAUACAGUUCCCCGUAUGUUAUUGGAAUGGGCGUGAAUUGAAGUCUCUCUGUGUUAGUCCUUGUAUUGGGCCUUGUGUUGGGUUUCUGCCUUAAGGGGGCCUGGUGACCAGUGGUUAUCGUUUUUGGUGGGCCAACAGUAAUCAGUUUUGAAUGACUCUUGCUAUAUGUGCAUACGUUGUUUACUUCGCCCUCUUUUUUCCUUGGGGCUGGUCUUUUGAAGUUUUCCCCUGCGUCUAUUUUACCGCGCCUUAUCGCGUUUUCAAUCAUUUCACCGGACAUUACCAUAUCCGAGAAGCUCUUGGUAGCACUCCCCAACAUGUGGUUGAUGAAUGGGGCCUUCAACGUAUUGAUAAAAGCAUGGAAACCUCUUUUUCCAAAAGGGGUGGCUGGACUUGCGUUGCCACCUCCCUCCAUCAUUGGGCGUAUUGCCUGAAACUCUCGUUUGUUUCUUUUCCAUAUUCUGUAAUGUAAUUCGAUCAGGUGUUAUGUCCGUCACAUGGCUAUAUUGCUUCAUAAAAGCUUGCGCCAAGUCUCUCCAUGAACUAAUUUUAGCACGACUCAGCUGGUUGUACCACUUGGCUGCAGACCCGAUCAAACUGUCUUGGAAGCAAUGGAUUAACAGUUGAUCAUUGCUGACGUAUCCCGUCAUUCUUCGACAGAACAUAGUUAUAUAAGCUUCAGGACAACUGGUCCCAUUGUACUUUUCAAACUCCGGCAUCUUGAAUUUAGGAGGGAGCACUAAAUCAGGAACCAAACUUAAAUCUUUGGCGUCAACUCCACAUUGGUAGUCGGUGCUCUCCAUGGCUCUAAAUUUCUCCUCUAGCCAUCUACACCAGUCCUCGAGUUGUUUUGGCAGGUCCAUUCUUACUUUUUCCAUUUCUGCCAUGUCAUCGAGAUCAAGGACCACAGGGUUGGUAGGGUUGUCCCCGGAGUUAGAACCUGAGCCUACUUGAAAGUGCCUUGGUACCGAGACGUCGACCCGAUAUUGAGAUCCAAUAGUCACAGGUGCUCUUUGGGGGCACAUCUCUAGCUGUGCCUGAGCGCUUGUCGGGGUAAAAUCUGGAGGAUAAACAGGGUCCUCCUGAUCAACUCCCAAAUUAAUUGCAGGGCUCUUUCCUUUAUCAGCCAAUAAUUGUGCCAGUUGGCUCAUGAUCCUUUGGGAUUCUAGCGCGUCCUGUUGGAUUUUAUCCAAUUGUUCUUGCAUCUUGUCUUGCAUAUCCUUUUGCAUUUGUUCCAGCCUUUCUAACCUCUGAUCCAUUGCUUUUGUUUGACGUCGAGUACCGUAGUGAUAUUUGGUUAGAUUUUUGUUGGUUUCCAGGGUAACUGUGACAAUUUUGAUUAAUUAGGGCCUUUUUAAUGAAACUUAAUGCGUGUAAUGAAAUGUAAUGCAAAUGCAUGAAUGCAAAGGGAGGCAUUGAUUCUAAUUCAAUUUUAUUAGAAGAACUCGAUUUAGAAAACAAAUUUCUUUACAUAAAAUGGACUACAUAUACGGCUUUGCCCUUAUACUCAAAGCCUUAACACUCCUAAGGAGCCGAGCUAACGCUCGACCUCGGCCUGAUUCUAAUUCAUCACUUAAACUCAGCACAUCAGCUUGAACUGCUAAGGUUUGCAGAUGAUCAGCUACUUCCCGUACUUGGGUAACAGCUUCACCCAUAAUGUAAUCUCUAUCUCUAAUCUGACUUUGGGCAUGAUGGAACUGCACCUGGUACUGUUCGUUACGUCUUUCAAGAAGCUCCAUUCGCAGUUCAGAAUUGUGCAAUGCGUCCUCAAGCUCCCCUAUCUUUCCUUUCAGUUCUUCGAUCUUAUUUAAGCUCACUCUUAACUCUAUCACAGGGUUGCGACUACGGUGCAAAUGAAGUGACUUUUCCAACUCUGCUACCCGGGCUUUUAAUCUUGCUUCUUCAUCCGGGCAUUCUGACAAGUUUUUCUCCAAAGCGCUCUCUCGAACUAGGGUGUCUUGAAAUUUCUUCUCCCACUGAUCAGCUUUGGUCUUUUCUUCUUUGAUCUCCUGUCGCCACUGCUCUGACGUUUUACCCAAACCGGCAGUUCUCAUCGAUAAUCGCAGCUUCUUAUAAUCCGUUUUUAAACUAUCUAAAUCUUCUUCAGCCUUGUUCUUCCCUUUCCUUAACUUUUCGGCUUCCAACUUGUGAAUAUCGACAUCUAAUCCCAAACGCAUCUUUUCCUCUUCUAGUUGCUCAAUUUUCUUUCCCAGCUCCGAACUUCUCCUUUCAAAGUCUUGUUUAAUGAUCUCUAGUUCUAACAGAACCACUUGUAGAUGCUCUUCUAUCGGUCGAACAUCCUCUUGGCUUGACACGGGGAUGUUAUCGUUGAUCCUUUUUUCCUACCACAAACUAUACUCGGGAGUUGUCAUUGGGUUUACAGCAAGUAUCUUCAUUCUGUGGAUUUGGUUCCAAGCAUUUGAUAUUUCACGAACCUUCUUCUUGUAAUUAUCUUCUUUGAAUGGAAAUUCACACUGAGCCAACCCUUGUGCUGCCGGUAUGAAUUGUCUAGAUCUGUACUGCCUCGAGACUAGCAAAGGAGCGUAAUCAAUGGCUCCCUAAAUUCCGAGCAAAGGACCCAAUCGAACUCUCCACAUCCUCCUCUUGAAGAUUUUAGAGAAUCAUGAUCCAUUUCUCUUCCGUGAUAUCGUCUCGUCUUGGCGCAGCCACUAGUUCCUUUAAUAGAGAGUAAUUUUUAGAGAAUACCCUAUAGAAGACCUUCUCUGCUCUCCAAAAGUGACUAUGGAACCACACUAAUAACAGUUGCGCGCAUCCGAUGAACCUUCCUUCACCCGCUCUUCGACAUGCAUUUAGAGAUCUGAAAGUUUCAGCCAAAAUUGCUGGGACCGGUGUGACCCUCUUGUCAAGCCUGUCAAACAAAUCUGAAACUGCUUCGUCUACAUGCCCUAACACCUUGGGGAAAAUGACCAAACCAUAAAUGCUCAAAGCGAAAAUAUACCCUUUUUCUCACAUCUGGAUGUGCCAAGAUCAGAUCUCGCAGAUUUUUCCAAGGCACGCACUUGUUGUCUCUUUUUUGCUUAAUCCGGGCUGCAACCCAUUGCUCGCUCAUCUCUGUAAUACUCAUUAAUUUCUUCAAGAAGGUCGGGACAUAUGUCGCUCUCGAAUAGGCCCUAUCGACUUGGAUCCUCGGACAUCGUAGCAAGGUCGUAUACUCUUCUAUUGUGGGUACCAAAUCUACCUUCCCAAACGUGAAACAACUGUAAGCGGGAUUCCAAUACUGCACGAGGGCUCGGAACAAGUGUUUGUCUACCUUUACGUCUAGCAGAUAAGGCAAAUCACCAUAGUUACUGUAGAAGAGUUGUCUGAUCUCAUCACUCCACUGACCCCUAAUCUCCUUCAACUCUUGUAGGUUGUUUUGAGUUACGCUGAUUCGAGUGAAGUCCCACAACUCUGACACGUAUCCCUCCAUGAAGCUAUCACCCUUUUCUUGCUGAAUUUUUUCAGACCAAACUCGGACUGCCGCAUUAUCUUCCACUUUACCAAGAAACUCCUUUUCCAUGCUGAGCUUUCUUUUUAAAUACUGAACGUGAAUCAACACCUCCUUUAUGAUGAGAAUGCCAUGCAAUCACAAUCAAGGUAAAAGCAAAGCAAGUCAGUACAAUAAACAAAAAUUCAAAGUAUACAAGAGAUAAUAAUUAAGGCUACUAUUCAAGAAACUACUAGGGUUCGAGGUGGUUCUACCUAGGGUAGGCUCCUCGGCUCAUUAUAUGCGGCUUGGUUCUAAAGUAAGGGUACCCGAACCAGCAGAUUCCUCGAUCUUCACCCAUUAUAGGCUCUGCUGCAAUAUACUUUUUAUGUUUUUGUAUCAUUUUGGUGUCCUUUUGUUUCCUCGAAGAUGGUUGAGGUUAGUUUGAUGGUGGUUAUUGGUGUUAGGAAAUACAAUGACAAAACAGAGAACCAAGAGGGUAGUUUGGUAGAUCUUCAAUUUCUAGUGUUAAUGUCAAGGUGUUGUUGCUAUUUACUGCUGGUUAUCUUUAUUGGCUGAGGCUGUAUUGUUUCUUUUGACAUUUUGCUGUCUUGCAUUGAUUAGGUGUCAUUCUGGAUAUGGAAUCAUUAUGUGGUGUUAUGAUUGACAUCACCACUUUUAUUCACCAUUUCAAUAAAAUUAUUUUCUAAAGGAAAAAAAAGGAUUAGUGUGAUUGCCAGGUUUGAUCCUUUCCAUUUCAAUCAGUUCACUUUAAUUUUUUUGACAGAAAAUAGUUUAGAGUUAAUUUUUUAAAAUGAUAAUGGUUAAAGACAAUUUUUUUAUUUACCUAAGGCAUUAGUUUUUUACUAUGUUGCAUAAUUAAAUUCGUAUAGAACUAUAUUUUUUUCUAUAUGACUUUGAUUAGAAUAAUGUUUUUCAGCCUUUAAAUAUAUGUAAUCGGAACUCUUCUUGUAUCAUUCUAUUUUCAACACUAGUAAAUUUUCUUCUCUUCUGUCCGUGAUUUUUUUCGAAAAAGUUUCCACGUAAAAUCUAUGUGUUUUUUUCUUAUUGCUUUGCGAUCGUUCUAUAUUGUCAUUGUCAACGUUCAAUUUUUACAGCAUAAUUUAACUAUAUAAAUAUAUUUUUUAAGAAACAAUAUAAACAUUACAAAGGAAGAAAAAUGAUAAAAUAUAAUCGAAGGUUAUUACUUAAUAGCCUAUGCAUUUAGGGGAAGAAAAUUGUAACCUCCAUUUUCAUUCUUUAUAUAUACCUUUUUAGUAAGAAUUUUGUUUUAAAAUAUUAUAAUCGAUCUACUAAUUGUAUAUAAAUUCAUCCAUUUGAACUUUAAAGAUGUCACUUGUUAUAAAUAUAUUUUGGAAUUAUAUUUGAUAUGCAUUAAAAUUCUUCAAUUCAUUAUUGAUUGAGUCUUAAUUCAAUUGACAUUGGCAUUGUUAACAGUGUAGGAGGACGUAAAUUCGAGUGCACUAAAGCGCAUUAUCCUCCUAUUUAAAGUUUGGGAAAGGACUAUGAAUAAUUCUAGACAUUGUAUCCAAAAAAUUCGUCAACUCAUUAAUGAGAAAAAUAAAAAAAAUUAAAAUUUUUUAAUAAAUACUUAAAAAUUUAUUUAAAUUUAAUUGAAAUUAAUUAUAUAUUUCUCUCUCUCUCUCCAAUUUUCUAAUCUCCCUAUCUGUGUAUUUACACAAAACUGAGAAAACUUUAGAGUUCAUUAAAAUCUUAAAAAAAAUUGUUGGAAUUUAUAAGAUUGGGAUUUAGGAUUAAAGUUGGAUUGAAGUGAAGGGAUUGUGAAAUUUGAAUAUCUGAAAAUUUGUCAAAGUCAAUAGUAUUCUUUUUUUUGGUUCAGGAAAACUCUUCAAUAAACUGGUUAUUAAGAGUCAUUUUCAAAAGCUAAUGCUCCCAUCAAAUUUAACAAUUUUAAAGAACAAUAAUUAGCCUCCAUCACAUGUAUAUAUUUUAAAAUAUUAUUUAUUUAAGCAACUGAUAAAAAGCCUAAAGUAAUUUAUAAAUUUUUCAAAAUUUAUAAUAAUAUAAAUCGAGUUUAAAGCAAUACUUUCAAAUUAAUUCUUGAAAGUAAAUUUUGUUAUUGUCUACCCUGGGCUUCUUAUAUCUCCCACAUUUCCACUUCCUUACAUACAAACUUCUAUACCAUACAGUAAAGUAUAUCAAAACCAAAUACUUAUAUGUUGCUCUGAUUAUUCAUUUUUCUUUCAAAUUCACCCUUCAAACAUAUGAAAAAAAACCAUAUAGCGGGGUAAAUGACGUUGCAACAAGGCUAUUUAGCACUUAUGGAGGUGAAAAAAGGGGUAAAGUUCAUGUUAGUGUGAUGAACGGAUUACAGAUAAAUGAGUGAUAUUUAUGCUUUGAUGGAGUGGUGGGAAGAACUCAAGAGACCAUUGAGCUUGAAAAGGGUCUAAAAAUGGGAGGUAUUUUGUCGAAAUAAGAUGAUGAAGAAAUUCUUAUUUAAAUUAACAAUUCAAAUCUUGUUGCCCUCUUCAAUGCUUGUCAACUUGAAAUCUUGUGAUUCUAACAUUUUGUUGGGAUUUUUGUUUCCUCAAUUAAAUUGUUAAUACAAGGGAAAAAAAAUCUUCGAAUAUUUUGUUGGGAUUUUUGUUCCCUUCAACAAGGGGUGAAGCAAGAAAAAUGUUUUAAGGCCAGAAAUGAAUAAUAACUUUUUUGGAAGCCGAAGUACAAUUUUAUCAUUAUCCUAACUUGUAAUUUCAUUAAAGCUAAAAGAAUUACAUAGAUAAUUUUUCCUUUUGGGUCAAAAGGUCACUCACUACCAACCCCGUCUUUGCCCCUGCCCACCAAUCAAAUGUUAAUAGAAGGGAAAAGAAAAAAAAAACUUUGAGCACUCAAACAUGUCUCUUUCAACACAACAAAUAGAUUUAUAAGUACGAUUCAAUAAAGAAUUAAUGAAGUAUCUAAUUCAUCAAUGCAAGACCAUCAAGAAGAUUUCUAAAUGUAAAUUUUAUAUGUUAGAUAUGUCACGAUUACACAAUAUAAAUAUAACACGAAAAAAACAUAAACGUAACACGAAUACAUUAUUCAUAUUUAAAUUGGAAGCACGGUUUUAAUUAUUAGUUUAUUAUCUAUAUAUUUCAAGAUCAACCAAGUUGUUUUUAGUAUAACAAAAAACAAAUUAAUCCUCUCAACACCCUUUUUUUAUUCACUAAUUUUUAGUACAAAUUAUUGAAAGGCCUAAAAUUGGAGCCUUUGAAAGAAAACAAUAUGUUUUUUUAUGCAGUACAAUGGCACAAACAAUAGCCACGCACACAGUUAUAGCGUUUACAACCUUGUCCACAAGGUUUGGCGCAGUCUGAAUCUUUGCUACAUUUAGCAUCAUUAGAUGGUAGCGGCUCAAAUACUGGCAAGCAACUACAUUUUCCGGUUUUUAAGUCACAAAAGCCGAGAUGUUCACAAUUCAAUUGACA